Long non-coding RNA from Lacerta agilis (Sand lizard), 1366 nucleotides. RefSeq lists it as uncharacterized. The transcript is spliced from 3 exons. The record is from RefSeq and is a predicted model, not a curated record. NCBI's taxonomy places the organism in Eukaryota, Metazoa, Chordata, Lepidosauria, Squamata, Lacertidae.
GAGGCUGCAAAGAGGAAAGGAGAGGAAGUGCAUUAUCAGACCAGUCUCAAAGUUUGAUAAGGUGGCAUGCUUGCAGCGAGAAGUCAAACACAGCUUCCCCCCUGAGAAUGAUCAGAAAUCUGAAAAGUGGAAAUUUGCUUGCUAGGAACCAUAAUUUCUGAUCUAAUGGAGGUUGGCUAUGAUAUAAUUCCUGUUACAGAGCAAUUGAUCAAACUAUGUAUUGGUAGUCACCUCAGCUAUACUUCCUGUGAGCAGAAAUUACUUGCAAAGUUUUGUAUAAAGGAGAACAAAGCUCAGCAGGUUAGUUCAAAUGAAAUGUUGUCAGAGGUCAGCACUUUCUCCAGCAGGAGCUAUCCAAACAUUCACAUUGUAAUUUCCAUUCUCCAUUCUGUUUCUCAAAUGUCGCAACAGAGAAUUGUUUCUGUGAGGUGAAUGAAGAAGAGCCAGGAUGGAGCAAAAGAUCAUCAAUGCAUUUGUACAUGUACAAUUUCUCUUCCCAAGCAAUGAAUACUAUAUAGAUGGUUUUUAUUGGCAUCCUGAAAGCAUUUAUUUUGAUUAUCCCUGGUGCCACAAUGCAUUUGGAAUGUGAAAAUACUGCUGUGUCUUUAAGCAAGGUGGUUUGAGCAGAUAGGCAUGAAGACGAUCUAGCGUAGAAUGUUUGCUAAUAUCCAACCAUUACUAUAAAUUAUUGGCAUGUAAAAUGUCUUAGGGAAAAGGGUAUUUAGCAGGGAUGGACACAUCUGUCAAUGUUGGUUUCUCUUGGUUUCUCAUUUUUCAAAUCUAGUCUGUCUCAUUUCUGCAUCAGUUUGUGAACUCUUUUUAAAAGUCAGCCCAAAAAUUCAUAUACAUUGUGCAUGUUGGCGCUCAUUUUCCACUAAUAUGUGUUUUGUUUUAGGUAUUUUUGUAUACAUUGUCUGGCUGGACAGCUAUAUCACAAAAUUCAGAGAAAUGUGGAUUUUUUUGAAGGAGAGCUGAAUUUUAGUUCACGUAUUGAUUUGGUAAGUACAAAGCAGGUAGGUUUUCAUUAAAAUGUGAACUCAAAAAAAUUGUUUCCUCAUUGCUAGUUUUAGUAAGAUUGAGCCAAAUAUGCACCCCUUUCAGAGAGAUGAUUCAUCUCCUGCAAAUAUUGGAUCUUUUUUGCACAGUUGCAAAAGUGGUAGAAUGUUGCUGUUAUCCUUUCUACCCAUCAACACUCAGCACCUGGGCAGAUGGUCACUCAAGUCACCAGGUUACACUUCCACACAACUAUGGGAUGCAUUUAUAUGUAAAUUAUAGUAAUUAUUUUAGCAUUUGCUUUCCCACAACUAAAUCAGCAUAUGCAUAUUUUAUGUAAAUCUGUGUCCACUUUCGUCUUCUAUUUUGGUGG